CUUAAAGGAAUUGACGGGACCCGCACAAGCGGUGGAUCAUGUUGUUUAAUUCGACGAUACGCGAAGAACCUUACCAGGUCUUGACAUCCCCUGCAAAGCUAUGGAGACAUAGUGGAGGUUAUCAGGGAGACAGGUGGUGCAUGGUUGUCGUCAGCUCGUGUCGUGAGAUGUUGGGUUAAGUCCCGCAACGAGCGCAACCCUUAUUGCUAGUUACCAUCAUUAAGUUGGGGACUCUAGCGAGACUGCCAGUGAUAAACUGGAGGAAGGUGGGAAUGACGUCAAAUCAUCAUGCCCUUUAUGACCUGGGCUACAAACGUGAUACAAUGGCUGAAACAAAGGGCAGCGAAGGAGCGAUCUGGAGCGAAACCCAAAAAGCAGUCUCAGUUCGGAUUGAAGUCUGCAACUCGACUUCAUGAAGUCGGAAUCGCUAGUAAUCGCGGAUCAGAACGCCGCGGUGAAUACGUUCUCGGGGUUU
Molecule: ribosomal RNA, 475 nt
Filed under: uncultured Acholeplasma sp.
Lineage: Bacteria; Bacillati; Mycoplasmatota; Mollicutes; Acholeplasmatales; Acholeplasmataceae
Description: bacterial SSU rRNA
Rfam family: Bacterial small subunit ribosomal RNA
Source: RNAcentral